Molecule: small RNA, 407 nt
Filed under: Arabidopsis thaliana (thale cress)
Lineage: Eukaryota; Viridiplantae; Streptophyta; Magnoliopsida; Brassicales; Brassicaceae
Description: ATSL025530
Source: RNAcentral
UGUAAUAAAAUAAAAACAAUAAGUCAAUCAUUAAUAUAAUUAGUAGACCUUUAAAAUAGCUUGUAAAGAUUUUCAAUUACCUCUGCUUUUCUUUCUAGUCCUCCUUCUUCUUCAGCCUGCGAAAAAAAAGAGUACAUUGUAAAGGUUUACUACGUAUUUAACCUUUAAAAUACAUUGUAAAACCUUUCCUUUCAAAUAGCUUUUAAAGAAACAUUUACAAUUACCUCUAGUUGUCUUUCUACUUCUUCAUGUUCUUGUUUUCUUUCUUCAUCUUCCUCAGAUCUCUGAUUAUUCUUUUCCUCCAUUCUAAUGUCCAAAAUCCUCUCAAUCAGCUCGACUCUCUUGUUAAGAUCUUCAAGGAUUGUCAAAAUCCUGUCAAGCUUCUCGCUAUCAGAUAUUUUGUUAUU